GAAUUUCGUAAUGUUAAAUCGGCAACUGUUAAAUUUCGGGAACGACGUUACGUUUACAAAAAGGUACUGCCGCGAUACUUAACGUUCACAACACUUAGAAUGAUAUACUUAUCCCAAUAUCAGGCAAGUUAUUACAAAUUAUAGAUAUAUCACAAAUAUGUGUUUAAAAUUAAUACAAUGCAAUAUUUAUUUCACAGUGCAGAAUCAAAGUAAUCUUUACCACCAUUAUAGUGUUAAUAAGCACUUUAAAUGAUUUUAUUGUAUAUAUGGCCUGUAUCAUGAAUUGUUUUAGAUUCUUAUCUUGAGUAAACUGGUAUAAAUGGAAAAAAAUCUAUUUAUAUUUUCAAAAUUGUAGUUUUUAAUAGCAUAUGAUUAUACUUAUAAAAUUAAAACUGCAGAUAUCUUUAAUUUUUGGGUGACAAUGAAUUAAUUUGGAUUAAUGUGUAUACAAACAUGAUAUAUUUAUUGAAAAUGUUCACAUAUAUGUGAUGUUUAAUUUUUCUGGUCUGAAAAAAAAGUAUUUAUCUGU
Molecule: long non-coding RNA, 529 nt
Filed under: Mytilus galloprovincialis (Mediterranean mussel)
Lineage: Eukaryota; Metazoa; Mollusca; Bivalvia; Mytilida; Mytilidae
Source: RNAcentral